This 736-nucleotide ribosomal RNA is filed under the name uncultured Clostridium sp. RNAcentral describes it as "bacterial SSU rRNA". It matches the Rfam family "Bacterial small subunit ribosomal RNA", at positions 39 to 776 of the family's 1533-position model. The record is from RNAcentral. Lineage: Bacteria; Bacillati; Bacillota; Clostridia; Eubacteriales; Clostridiaceae.
GCGGCGUGCCUAACACAUGCAAGUUGAGCGAGAAAUCACUUAAAGAAGCUUCGGUAGACUUAAGAGAUGGAGAGCAGCGGACGGGUGAGUAACGCGUGGGAAACCUGCCCUUGACAGGAGGAUAGCCGAGAGAAAUUUCGAUUAAUACUUCAUAAAGCAGAGCAUUCGCAUGGAUGAACUGCCAAAGAAUUAUCGGUCAAGGAUGGUCCCGCGUCUGAUUAGCUGGUUGGUAAGGUAGCGGCUUACCAAGGCGACGAUCAGUAGCCGGCCUGAGAGGGUGAACGGCCACAUUGGAACUGAGACACGGUCCAGACUCCUACGGGAGGCAGCAGUGGGGAAUAUUGCACAAUGGGCGAAAGCCUGAUGCAGCAACGCCGCGUGAAGGAAGAAGGCUUUCGAGUCGUAAACUUCUGUCCAAAGGGAAGAAUAAUGACGGUACCUUUGAAGAAAGCCCCGGCUAACUACGUGCCAGCAGCCGCGGUAAUACGUAGGGGGCGAGCGUUAUCCGGAAUUACUGGGCGUAAAGAGUAUGUAGGUGGUUAAGUAAGCGUAGGGUUUAAGGCGACAGCCCAACUGUCGUAUGCCCCGCGAACUGUUUAACUUGAGUACAGGAGGGGAAGGCGGAAUUCCUAGUGUAGCGGUGAAAUGCGUAGAUAUUAGGAGGAACACCAGUGGCGAAGGCGGCCUUCUGGACUGUAACUGACACUGAGAUACGAAAGCGUGGGUAGCAAACAGG